RNAcentral lists this long non-coding RNA (2848 nucleotides) under Anas platyrhynchos (mallard). RNAcentral's name for it is "lncRNA (ENSAPLG00020011080.1)". Lineage: Eukaryota; Metazoa; Chordata; Aves; Anseriformes; Anatidae. The record is from RNAcentral.
AGGGUUUCCCCAGACGGCUUCUGCGGGUUGCGCAGACGCAAAACUCCCCCUUCGUCGUGUCAGCCGUGCCGCCAACGGUGGCUGCCUGGCUGCUGCCCUCCCUCCCCGGAGCGACGGCGCUGCCCUUGCAGCCCCUGCAGGUACCCACCCUCCCCUCCGCGCUGCCCCAGGCCACCGUCUGGCACGUGGUGCCGGGGGUCCAGGGGCAGGUGCUGCAGCUCCCCGCCGGGGUGCAGCUGCCACCUGGGGGGCACCUCCCAGCCCAGGGGCACCACCUGCAGCUUGGGCAGCUCCCCGCCGUGGGGCAGCUCCCUGCUGGGGGGCAAAACCUGCAGCUGGUGCAGCUCCCAACCAUGGGGCACCAGCUGCAGCUGGUGCAGCUCCCCGCCGUGGGGCAGCUCCCCCACACCGCUCCUCCCUGUGCCCCCGUCCAUCAGUGGGGACAGCCCAUGGUGACGGGGACACUGGUGCCCCACCAUGCGCUGGGGCUGGGGCCCAGGGCCGUGCUCCAUGGGGAGCUCCUGCACCCCGCAGGCACCUGCCUGUUGCAGGCCCCCGCCCAGCGCAACCCCCCGCCACCCCUCGUCCCGGGGCCUCCGCUGCGGGGGCAGGCGCUCCCCACGCCCCGCACCCUGAGCAGCAGCCGGGGGCAGCUGCCGGAGCCCUGCUUGCACGCCGUGGGGCUCAGCGAGGACCAGGGGCCCCCGCUGCCCGGCCCCACUCCCCCCGAGCCUGCCCAGGCUCCAAGGACCGCCAGCACCCAGACGGCGACGCCCGACGCGGCGACAGCCCCGCAGGUGCCUGAGGAGCCCCCGCAGCUGCCCGAGCUGGGCCCCGAUGCCUUGGCCGAGGCCUUUCCAGAGCUGGCAGGGGACAGCCAGCAGCUGCAGCACGUGCAGGACGAGCUCCUGGCCCACCUGGACAUCCCCAUCCCCGACAUGGAGGAGCUGCUCAGCUGGCUCGAUGCCGUGGAGCCCCAGGACGCCUUCCCCGAUUUGCCCAGCAGUCCUGCCCUCAGCCGCUUCCUCUCCCAGCUGCCCGACCUCUGCGAGGACAUCGAGGAGCCGAGCACGCAGGGACUGGAAGCCACAGGAGCCCUCGGUGAGGUCCCCUCAAGCCCUGGGGUGCGCCCCGAGAAGCUUGAGGGUGGGCUGUCGCUGCAGUCCCCCGUCGUGCCAGCAGUGAGCCCCCCCCUCAGCCCUGCAGCCAGUCCCCUGCCCAGUGCGCUUAGGAGCCCCCUACCCAGUCCACCCCUGAGUCCCCCCAGGAGCCUCCCUGACACCCAGGUCCUCAGUGCCCUUAGUAGAGCCCUGCCCCAACCCCCCCAGCGUUCCCUCAAGACCCGCCCCAACCCCAAGGUCCCCAGUGCCCUUAGUAGAGCCCAGCCCAAAUCCCCCCCGAGUUCCCCCAAGAAACGCCCCAACCCCAAGGGCCGCAGUGACCAUAGGAGACCCCUGCCCAAACGCCCCCUGGGUCCCCUCAAGAGCCCCCUGGCUGCCCCUGCGUCCACCGGCACCGAGCGGGGGGCCAAGCGCCCCGCGCCCAGCAGCACCCCCGGGACAGCGCAGAGCUGCCAGCACAGGAGGCCGACGACAGAGAACCCCCCCCGCAAGGAGAGGAAGAUGCUGCUGGGCCAGGCUGGCCAAGGCCGCAAGAGACCGUGCCAGGGGAAGACGCGUGGCAGCAGCACGGUGGCUGGCAGCAGCAGGGAAGCAGGCAGCAGCGGGCAGCAGCUGGCGAUCAACAGCACCACGGCACCGGUGAAGAGAGCGCGAAGCCCGGGGGCUGCAGGGGGGCAAGGAGCAGCGGCACCAGCUCCCCGCAGAGCGCGGCUGCUGCCGGAGACUCCGAGUGGGGAGCCCCGUGCCGUGCGGCCCCAGGACAGGCUCUGUCCCCAGGCCAGCGGGGCCAAGACGCUGGAGGAGUCGGUGCCCAUCACGCCGCAGCAGCGUCCCGAGCGGGAGCGCCUGAAGAAGCUGGCCCAGGAGGAGCGGCAGCGGGCGGCCCACCAGAUGAAGAUCGGCCCCGUGCAAUUCUUCGUGCAGCGGCAGAAGGACCACGCCAGAGCCUACUCUUACGGCUACCCGUGACCGACCUCGGGCUUCUCCUCGACGGCCCCCGCAGCACCCAGGCAGGCACAGAGACCUCUGCAGGCACCUGCUCCAGCUUCAGCCACGCUCCUCAGCCCUUGCCCCUCUCGCUUGCCCUCUCCCCUCUCUCGUGCUGGAGCUAGGGGAUGAGCUUGCCACUCUCAGGGAUGGGCAACGGGGGCAAUGGAAAAUGCGUGGCUCACCGAGGAAGGUGGCAAUGGGAAGCUGGGGAGAUGCUGGCAGCGGCUGGGCUGGGAAAGCUUGCCCAUGGCAACUGCUGCUUGGGACACCAAAGGGCUGAGAGACAAGACUUGGUUCUUCUUUCAGGGCAUUGCUCUUCUUUCCUGCCUUCUGGAUUAAAUUCCUCUCCUUACGUGGUCACUCAGCAAGGCCUCUGCCUGCAGCUCUUCUUGCACUGGGAUGCCAAGGGGAUUUCAUGCAGCCCGCUCCCGCUGCCCAUGCUCAGGCCGUGCAUGGAUGUGGGCAUGGCCAGCACGGACGGCAGAAGAUGGAUGGAUGGAUGGAUGGAUGGAUGGAUGGAUGGAUGGAUGGAUGGAUGGAUGGAAGAAUGGGAGUUGGGAAUUGAGCCUUGGGAGCAGCAAUGGGAGGUGGCUGGGAUAGGAAAUGAUCAGUGGGAUGGGAAGUGAUGAUGGGGAUAGGAAUUCAUUGUUAUGGGAAAAAUGGGUUUUAUUUUUAUUAAAUUUAAAUUUGUUAAUUUUCAUUUAAUUUGUUGGUUUUAUUAUUUAUUUCAUUAAAUC